Molecule: long non-coding RNA, 378 nt
Organism: Xiphophorus hellerii (green swordtail)
Lineage: Eukaryota; Metazoa; Chordata; Actinopteri; Cyprinodontiformes; Poeciliidae
Exons: 2
Source: RefSeq, a predicted model, not a curated record
ACCUGGUACAACCUGGUUUUCAUGCAUUGAUUUUUCUUGAUUGUAGAAAAUAUGGUUGAAUAUUUUCUUCAAUAAUUUGUUGUGUCUUUUGUCUUAGUUAUAUUUUUCUCUGUUCUGCUGCAGCUGUUUUCUAUUAUAGAUUACCAUGUGUAACAGUGUUUAGGUUUAAGUUGUAGAAUCCCACUUGCUUUAUAUGGAUCAGUGCAAUGGGGAAAUAGCGCCCCCCUCUCUGUGUGGCUGGUUAAAUGUUGCUGGCUCCUGCACUCAGUGCCAGUCUGUGAAAGCUGCACGAGAGUGUGCUGAAUGAAGCGGAGCCGUUGCACUGAUCUGAACUCCCCAUAUGUUCCCAUUCAGGAAAUAAACUUGAUAAACCAGAAA